UUUUCGUAUCCAAAUAUUUCAGAUCCGUAGGUCAGAAUAGGGAGCACAGUGUGGUCAAACAGCUUUAUAAUGAGGUCGAUUGGGAGGCUGGCAUUGUUUGCCCUUGUGAAAAGGAACGUUUGAAGUGCUGUGUUGUGAAAAAUGGACUGUAGUUCGCUGGUUAUAAAUUCAACUGUUUCCUUGGAUUGAGGGUUACGCAGAGCGCCUCUCCCCCCUUGGGCCUAUUUGUGAGAGUUUGAGGGAUUUGCACAGCUCGUGUUCAGGGGAUCCAAAUGAACAUCGUUUUCAUUAGUGUUUGUGUGAGCAGUUUGGAGAGUUCUGGAAUUAACACCUGCUGCAGAUCGAUCAGUGUUUGUUUGGGUGUUCUUUGACUUUGAUGUCCAUGGGCGCUGGAAAGCGGAUUCCCCCGAGGCAGACGAUCUUUGGUUUAUCGGGGCGUGUGUGCGUCUUCUUGCUGGAGCAGGAGAUUCAGAUUGAGGACGCCUGGAAAUGUGUGUAUGUCCAUUUGACGAGGAGGUUAUUUUGUUGGUGUGGAUUUCCUGGACUGUUGGAUUUGGGGCUCCUUCAUAGUGCUCUAUGGACUGUGUAUUGUGGAUUUGACUGUGCUGCGUGACUUGUGGAGUGGGCACCUCAUCGCCAGAAGCGGGCUUAUGGUUUCCUUCAAAUUGUUGGGAUUUUGAACUAAGUGAUUUUGGACUAUAGUUGCUGUUUGGAGAAUAGUUGUGCUGCGUGGCAUGUGGAAUGGACGUCUCAUUGCCAUAAACAGAUUUGUGGUUCACUUCGUAUUGGUGGGGUUUCAAACUAAGUGAUUGGUGACUAUAGUUGCCGUUUGGAGAAUGGUGGACAUUGGUCGUGAUUCUGUCGCUAUUUAGGACUUGGCUCCAAUCAGGGAACAUGUCUGCCACGACACGACCAUCUGCCACUAUCUUUGCUGGGAAGACAAUGCUUAUUUUGCUCUUUGGAUGCAUACCACGGAGUCUUUUGAGCUCUGGCCACAGAGUUUUGCGAGCAUUUACAAUCUCUUUUGGGAAGUCUCUAUUUAUGUGAAAAUUUGUAUUUCUUAAUUUAUUUGCAUUUGCCAAUAUAAGCUCUGUGUCUCUAAAGUCAAGGAAAUAAACGAUGAUAGCUCUUGUAGAAUUUGAGCGGAAUCUACCUAGCCUGUGUGCUCUAGGGAUUGCAGGGCAUGGGUCAAUUUGGAGUUUGUCUUUCAGGAACCUGGCAAUUAAAGAAUGGCAGUCUUCACCUUUCAUUUCAUCUAUGCCACCUAUAAUUAGGUUAUUUCUCCGGCUUCUUGCUUCUAAAUCAAUUGACUUAUAUUCGAGUAAUUUCAGUCUCACAUCAUGUUGGUAUACUGAAUUUUCUAUAGAUUUCACUUGGUUGUGUAAGCUCAGACAGUCAUCAACUUUCUGUUCAAUACUGCUCAUCCGUGCAAACAUUACACACAGUUUAUCAUCAGUAUUUAGGCUUCCAUAUUCAUGUUGUGAUAUUGAAUGCUCCUCACCUUGAGUACUUUGACUGCCCGUGUUUACUCGUGCCCGUUUUCUUGAGUCGGCCAUUCCUUUGUUUGCUAGAACGUUAAACUGGUUUUCUGUCACAAACACGUCAUACUCACUGUUAUUGUACAAGUUUUUAUUGCUUGAAUGAUCCAUUGUUGCACAUCUUAUUUAAUGCUAUUAAAAUAUUAUAAAACGUU
This is a long non-coding RNA of Dreissena polymorpha, 1693 nucleotides long. RefSeq lists it as uncharacterized. The transcript is spliced from 3 exons. NCBI's taxonomy places the organism in Eukaryota, Metazoa, Mollusca, Bivalvia, Myida, Dreissenidae. The record is from RefSeq and is a predicted model, not a curated record.